GGAGAGGGAGCCUGAGAAAUGGCUACCACUUCUAAGGAGGGCAGCAGGCGCGCAAAUUACCCAAUCCUAAUACGGGGAGGUAGUGACAAUAAAUAACAAUGCUGGUAUUAAUAUACUAGUAAUUGGAAUGAGAACAAUUUAAACCCCUUAUCGAGUAACCAUCAGAGGGCAAGUCUGGUGCCAGCAGCCGCGGUAAUUCCAGCUCUGAUAGCGUAUAUUAAAAGUUGUUGCAGUUAAAAAGCUCGUAGUUGGAUAUUAGGAUCUACUUGUAUGGUCGGUUGUGAUAAACAAUCUUGUACUGUAUAAGUGAUUCUUUCUACUGGUUACUCGACUCUGUCCUUUACUGAUGAGUAGUGUCGCAAGGCAUCGCUUGAUGUUAUAUUGCCUAUGACUGUAGUUAUUGGUAAAACGUGUAGUGAAAUUCAUGGAGUCACAGUAUGAUAUUAAGU
RNAcentral lists this ribosomal RNA (449 nucleotides) under uncultured eukaryote. Its description in RNAcentral is "bacterial SSU rRNA". It matches the Rfam family "Eukaryotic small subunit ribosomal RNA", at positions 385 to 833 of the family's 1831-position model. The record is from RNAcentral.